This 103-nucleotide microRNA precursor is filed under the name Marmota monax (woodchuck). The record is from RNAcentral. Lineage: Eukaryota; Metazoa; Chordata; Mammalia; Rodentia; Sciuridae.
AGUAGGAUAGCUAGGUCAUAUGGUGGUUCCAUUCCCAGUUUUUUGAGGAACUCCCAUACUGCUUUCUAGAGUGGUUGUACUAAUUUGCAGUCCCACCAACAAU